AAAUUGAAGAGUUUGAUCAUGGCUCAGAUUGAACGCUGGCGGCAGGCCUAACACAUGCAAGUCGAACGGUAACAGGAAGCAGCUUGCUGCUUGGCUGACGAGUGGCGGACGGGUGAGUAAUGUCUGGGAAACUGCCUGAUGGAGGGGGAUAACUACUGGAAACGGUGGCUAAUACCGCAUAACGUCGCAAGACCAAAGAGGGGGACCUUCGGGCCUCUUG
This 220-nucleotide ribosomal RNA is filed under the name Salmonella enterica. RNAcentral's name for it is "partial 16S ribosomal RNA". It matches the Rfam family "Bacterial small subunit ribosomal RNA", at positions 1 to 217 of the family's 1533-position model. RNAcentral also lists the same sequence under 1 other name. The record is from RNAcentral. Lineage: Bacteria; Pseudomonadati; Pseudomonadota; Gammaproteobacteria; Enterobacterales; Enterobacteriaceae.